CAUUCCAAAACUUUUUUCCCAUCGGCUACCGUAACCCGUGUUUUACACGCACUUGUCAUUUUGCGAUCGACACACGCCAUAGAGAAGACAGGUGCGAAAAACCAACCAGCGCAUCUUGUUCGACAACUUUUCACCGACAUAA
Caenorhabditis elegans is the source of this 142-nucleotide non-coding RNA. Lineage: Eukaryota; Metazoa; Nematoda; Chromadorea; Rhabditida; Rhabditidae. The record is from Ensembl.